CUCCUCUGAGGGUGGCCGGGAACAGCCGCAUCCUAGGCGUUCCUGGCUGAUGUCAUAGGCUGCCAGCGGUCGCGGAGUACCGCCACCACGCCUUUAUGAAGGUCCCAAGUUUGCUAUCUGAUCCUCUUUACUACUGACAGGAGAUCAGCCAAUCAGGAGCGGUGAGCGGGGCCUGGGGACCAGACGCGGCCCCAGGAGUCUUAACAGCCGGCUCUUAACUCUUUGCAGAAUAGUGCGCCAAGGCUGCUUGCCCAGGCGGGAGUCUCUGCACUGGCACCCCUAAAUCGGAUGCCCGAAGGCUGCAGGCGGCGCCCGGCGUGCAGGUGGCGCCUGGCGACGAUCUGACCACUUCUUCUCCCUUCACACACUCUGAGAACGCAUUCUAGGAUCUGUCUGUGUCACCAAGGGCCUCUCGGAAGGACGGACGGUUUUCAGACCUCCCCCAUGCUGCAGGGGGUUCUGCUGAGCCUUGGAUGAGUCUUGAUCACAGAAGUAUACUUCAGCUUCAGCAAGACAAGUGGAAGAGGAAGCCCAGCCAACAGUCACACUGGUCCACUCUUCUUUUGAAGAAAUGGGAAGAUCUGAGGCAAGUACAGUGUUUAUUGCAUGAAUCUAAACUCCAUUUUUUUCCCCUAUUGUGGUGAUGAAAUUCUCAGACCAAAGUGACUUAGGAGAAUGGGUUUAUUCCAGCUUCCAUUGAGAGUUGCAAAGCAUGAUGGGAAGUAAACGGCAGUAGGAGUUCGAAGCACCUGGUCACAUAUCAUUUGUACAGAAGGAAAGGAUAGUGAAUGCAGACAGCCUGGUGUCCAGCUCUCACAGAGGAUGAUCUUAGCUAUGCAAUUCACCAGUAACAGUGGCCAAGUCUUUCCACCUCAAUUAACAGCAUCAGCACCAUCCCCGCUUCCACACACAAGCCUGCACUGCACGUGGUCUCACAGUGCUUCUAGAUUCUGUCCGAUUGGCAACAUGAACGGCCGAAUCCAUUAACAAUAACGUGGAAGUGAUGUGUGGAUGGAUUCUUGCCAACUUUGAAAAUGACAAGAUAAAAGAUGUAUUCUUGCUAUUACCCUGAGUGACUGUGAGGAUCAAAGUCUGAAACCAGGGGGACAAUGAAAAGCAUUAAUGUCCCAGUUUCAGAGAGAGUGGCCAUGAGUUUAUACCUCUUUGUAGGUGACCUGUUAUCUAACUGGCCUGACUCAGGGCACAUUUCAAGUCUCUUUUGAAGUUUGUUGAUUGAAUGGGUGAGCCUCCAGACUGUGUGUGUGUGUGUGUGUGUGUGUGUGUGUGUGUGUGUGUGUGUGUGUGUGUGUCUGUGUGUUGCUUUUAUUUUCAUCUUUAUGUGGUGGCUGUGUGAUGGGUAUGAGAAUUCUUAGUGUUUUCAAAGCUUGCUCCUGCCAUUUUGAGACUGAGAAUUCCUGAAUCCCGCUGAGAAGCGACUAUUAAAGCUACCGUCGGGUAGAAGCCUGUUCUGUUCCCUGCUUGGCAUCUCAUCUCUGCUGAUAGGAUUCCCGAGAAGAAAGGCACAUAGUAGAUUUAGACAUCGUGAACUCCAGAUUUAGAAACAGUAAAAUAAAAUAAAAUAAAAUAAAAUAAA
Long non-coding RNA from Mus musculus (house mouse), 1594 nucleotides. RefSeq annotates it as predicted gene, 30586. The record is from RefSeq and is a predicted model, not a curated record. The transcript has 3 exons. Lineage: Eukaryota; Metazoa; Chordata; Mammalia; Rodentia; Muridae.